ACGGAAGGCAGCAGUGGGGAAUAUUGCACAAUGGGGGAAACCCUGAUGCAGCAACGCCGCGUGAGUGAAGAAGUAUUUCGGUAUGUAAAGCUCUAUCAGCAGGGGAGAUAAUGACGGUACCUGACUAAGAAGCUCCGGCUAAAUACGUGCCAGCAGCCGCGGUAAUACGUAUGGAGCAAGCGUUAUCCGGAUUUACUGGGUGUAAAGGGUGCGUAGGUGGCAGGGCAAGUCAGAUGUGAAAGACCGGGGCUCAACUCCGGGGCUGCAUUUGAAACUGUCUUGCUAGAGUGCAGGAGGGGCAAGCGGAAUUCCUAGUGUAGCGGUGAAAUGCGUAGAUAUUAGGAGGAACACCAGUGGCGAAGGCGGCUUUCUGGACUGAAACUGACACUGAGGCACGAAAGCGUGGGGAGCAAACAGGAUUAGAUACCCUGGUA
RNAcentral lists this ribosomal RNA (434 nucleotides) under uncultured Lachnospiraceae bacterium. RNAcentral's name for it is "partial 16S ribosomal RNA". It matches the Rfam family "Bacterial small subunit ribosomal RNA", at positions 341 to 792 of the family's 1533-position model. The record is from RNAcentral. Lineage: Bacteria; Bacillati; Bacillota; Clostridia; Lachnospirales; Lachnospiraceae.